This is a non-coding RNA of Populus trichocarpa (black cottonwood), 95 nucleotides long. The record is from Rfam. Lineage: Eukaryota; Viridiplantae; Streptophyta; Magnoliopsida; Malpighiales; Salicaceae.
GUUGCUAUGAUGAAGUUAAGCACCAAAUGUGUUGAAGAGCAGUGUUCUUGUCGUGAGCUCUCUUUUAUAAACGACUUCUCCUUCCGCUGAGCCUC